UGUAGCGUAGAGGAGUGGUUACCUUGCAAGACUCAUGCUCUUGAGACGAUAGUUCGAAUCUAUCCGCUGCAC
Molecule: transfer RNA, 72 nt
Filed under: Scenedesmus sp. NREL 46B-D3
Lineage: Eukaryota; Viridiplantae; Chlorophyta; Chlorophyceae; Sphaeropleales; Scenedesmaceae
Rfam family: tRNA
About the family: Transfer RNA (tRNA) molecules are approximately 80 nucleotides in length. Their secondary structure includes four short double-helical elements and three loops (D, anti-codon, and T loops).
Source: Rfam by way of RNAcentral